This 468-nucleotide ribosomal RNA is filed under the name uncultured bacterium. Its description in RNAcentral is "partial 16S ribosomal RNA". It matches the Rfam family "Bacterial small subunit ribosomal RNA", at positions 28 to 507 of the family's 1533-position model. The record is from RNAcentral.
GACGAACGCUGGCGGCGUGCUUAACACAUGCAAGUCGAACGGAAAGGCCCUGCUUUUGUGGGGUGCUCGAGUGGCGAACGGGUGAGUAACACGUGAGUAACCUGCCCUUGACUUUGGGAUAACUUCAGGAAACUGGGGCUAAUACCGGAUAGGAGCUCCUGCUGCAUGGUGGGGGUUGGAAAGUUUCGGCUGUUGGGGAUGGACUCGCGGCUUAUCAGCUUGUUGGUGGGGUAGUGGCUGACCAAGGCUUUGACGGGUAGCCGGCCUGAGAGGGUGACCGGCCACAUUGGUACUGAGAGACGGACCAGACUCCUACGGGAGGCAGCAGGGGGGAAUAUUGCACAAUGGGCGGAAGUGUGAUGCAGCAACGCCGCGUGCGGGAUGACGGCCUUCGGGUUGUAAACCGCUUUCGCCUGUGACGAAGCGUGAGUGACGGUAAUGGGUAAAGAAGCACCGGCUAACUACGUG